CUUUCUGAGAGUUCUUUCCUUUAUUACUCAGUAUUAAUUACUAAAGUUUCCUUUUUUUUAACAAUUUGUUCUCUAAAGAAGUUUAUUUUUAGUAUUUCCUCUUUGGAACUAAAAGAUAGAAUGAUUUUUCAUAAUGGUUUUGUUCAAAUUGGGAAUAUAUGUUUGGAACUAAAAGAUAGAAUGAAAUUUGACAAUGGUUUUGUUCAAAUUGGGAAUAUAUGUUUGGAACUAAAAGAUAGAAUGAAAUUUGACAAUGGUUUUGUUCAAAUUGGGAAUAUAUGUUUUCAAGCUGUGCUAGAA
Molecule: long non-coding RNA, 300 nt
Filed under: Brassica napus (rape)
Lineage: Eukaryota; Viridiplantae; Streptophyta; Magnoliopsida; Brassicales; Brassicaceae
Description: long non-coding RNA (BNAP_LNC007178)
Source: RNAcentral